This 426-nucleotide ribosomal RNA is filed under the name uncultured bacterium. RNAcentral describes it as "bacterial SSU rRNA". It matches the Rfam family "Bacterial small subunit ribosomal RNA", at positions 354 to 796 of the family's 1533-position model. The record is from RNAcentral.
GUGAGGAAUUUUCCGCAAUGGGCGAAAGCCUGACGGAGCAAUGCCGCGUGAAGGAUGAAGGCCUAUGGGUUGUAAACUUCUUUUCUCAGAAAAGAAUUAUGACGGUAUCUGAGGAAUAAGCAUCGGCUAACUCUGUGCCAGCAGCCGCGGUAAGACAGAGGAUGCAAGCGUUAUCCGGAAUGAUUGGGCGUAAAGCGUCUGUAGGUUGUUUAAAAAGUAUUCUGUCAAAGAUUAGGGCUUAACCCUAGAUAGGCAGAAUAAACUUUUAAGAUAGAGUUUGGUAGAGGCAGAGGGAAUUCCCGGUGGAGCGGUGAAAUGCGUAGAUAUCGGGAGGAACACCAAAGGCGAAGGCACUCUGCUGGGCCAAUACUAACACUGAGAGACGAAAGCGAGGGGAGCAAAUGGGAUUAGAUACCCGUGUAGUCC